CCAUAAGCACCCCCGAGAGAUCAGAGCUGCUGGGGCUGGCUAGCCGCCUGGCUGGCAAGCUUGAGCACGAGGCGGAGGGGGAGGGGUACGACAGCAGCUCUCCAGCUGCGCACGAAGGCUCUAUUAGGUUACGCGAGCACAGCCCGAACCGAACAGCCCUGUUCAUUUGGCCUCCAGACAGCGGAGUUGAUAAGCCGGCUGCUGUGCUCCCGGGAGGGGACACAUACACACACAUACACACCUCGCCGGCUCCGAAGUCCGGGUUACACACGGCCAACUUGCCCCCAGGCCUCAGCCAGACCCCCCAGGCCUGGGCAGCAGGUGUGUGUUUGCUGGGGAGCCUCCCCGGGCCCCCCACCCAAGAACGCCUUUCGGUCAGUUCUACUCCUUGUACACUCUUUCCUUGGCAACAGCUUCACUCGUUCACGUGGUUCGUCUUUCCCCCCCACCCGUCUUAAGCACACACUUGUACACGAAGACAUACAUAAUGAUCUGGUGAGGUGCUGCCCCACCAGCGAGCCUUAGCCCCGUCAGACAAGCUCCCGCCUUGACACCUUGGCCCGCCCCGCCUGCCUGACGCGUACCGGGACGGGC
This 594-nucleotide long non-coding RNA is filed under the name Volvox carteri. RNAcentral describes it as "long non-coding RNA (VCAR_LNC000842)". Lineage: Eukaryota; Viridiplantae; Chlorophyta; Chlorophyceae; Chlamydomonadales; Volvocaceae. The record is from RNAcentral.